This 350-nucleotide ribosomal RNA is filed under the name Bacillota bacterium. RNAcentral's name for it is "partial 23S ribosomal RNA". It matches the Rfam family "Bacterial large subunit ribosomal RNA", at positions 2577 to 2925 of the family's 2925-position model. Lineage: Bacteria; Bacillati; Bacillota. The record is from RNAcentral.
CUGUUCGCCAAUUAAAGCGGUACGCGAGCUGGGUUCAGAACGUCGUGAGACAGUUCGGUCCCUAUCUACCGCGGGCGCAGGAGAUUUGAGGGGAGCCACCCUUAGUACGAGAGGACCGGGGUGGACGCACCGCUGGUGUCCCAGUUGUCGCGCCAGCGGCACGGCUGGGUAGCCAAGUGCGGACCGGAUAAACGCUGAAAGCAUCUAAGCGUGAAGCCGACCCCAAGAUUAGAUCUCCCACAGGGUCAACCUGGUAAGACUCCUCGUAGAUUACGAGGUUGAUAGGCCGGGGGUGUAAGCGCAGCAAUGCGUUGAGCCGACCGGUACUAAUCAGUCGAGGGCUUGACCUG